GGUCCUGUGGUCUAGUGGUUAGGACACAUGACUCUGAAUCAUGUAACCCGAGUUCAAAUGCAGGACCU
This 68-nucleotide transfer RNA is filed under the name Pleodorina starrii. RNAcentral's name for it is "tRNA-Gln". It matches the Rfam family "tRNA". Rfam says of the family: Transfer RNA (tRNA) molecules are approximately 80 nucleotides in length. Lineage: Eukaryota; Viridiplantae; Chlorophyta; Chlorophyceae; Chlamydomonadales; Volvocaceae. The record is from RNAcentral.